AUAUUGGUCAAUGGACGCAAGUCUGAACCAGCCAUGCCGCGUGAAGGAUUAAGGUCCUCUGGAUUGUAAACUUCUUUUAUCUGGGACGAAAAAAGGCGAUUCUUCGUCACUUGACGGUACCAGAUGAAUAAGCACCGGCUAACUCCGUGCCAGCAGCCGCGGUAAU
RNAcentral lists this ribosomal RNA (166 nucleotides) under uncultured freshwater bacterium. RNAcentral's name for it is "partial 16S ribosomal RNA". It matches the Rfam family "Bacterial small subunit ribosomal RNA", at positions 361 to 524 of the family's 1533-position model. The record is from RNAcentral.